GUCAGGACAUUAGCGGACAAGGAUGACUACAGCUGCAUAGUUUCCCAUCCUCCAUUCAAGUGCAAGUCAUUUAGAACAAGUUCUGUCCCCAUGCUCUGAGACGUGUGCCUCAUAAAAUACAUGUGACGUGUAUGUGGCAGUGCAAACAUUGUGCCGCCAGAGAGAGUACGAGGUAUUACUUAAACAUUAUAAAAGUACAUCAUCAUUAUGGGA
Esox lucius (northern pike) is the source of this 213-nucleotide long non-coding RNA. RefSeq lists it as uncharacterized. Lineage: Eukaryota; Metazoa; Chordata; Actinopteri; Esociformes; Esocidae. The record is from RefSeq and is a predicted model, not a curated record. The transcript has 3 exons.